UCUCUCUUUUCAACUGAAUCAAGGCUGUCAGUCACAUCAGCCCUUGAAUUCUCAGCGCAGAGCUCUACAUCUGCCUCUCCGCAGCACAGAGAAGCUGGCAAGGCGGUAACAUACGUAUAAGGUAGAUUUAAAAGCGUUUUCACUUAAAUGGAUUUGAUUUUAUCAUUCUAGGUGACCUUCACUUCCCAACACGUUGCUCUUAUCGGGCGCAUUGUCGUUGUUAAGAGAAGUGGGAUUCAACCAUUCUGACAAAGUUAAGGGGAAAACUCUGGGUUUGGAAUAUUUUGGGUUUUGCUCUAAGCAUUAGACCAUUUUUCCUUCGCUCCUUUAUUUACAGGGAAAUAUUUGAUACCACCCUGAUAAAAGUGCAAUGCCAACUUAGCGUUAAAAUCCAGAACCCAAAGUAGAUCAAUCUUACAAUUUCUCUUUUAACUUUAGACUUGUCAGGCUCUAUUAUUCUCAAUAUAGUUUGACAGUUCUAGGUUAAAAAGACAUCAAUUACCUUUCAAAAUUACCCUCGCCACUGUAAGAUUAGCUCUAUUUCUGCUGACUUUGGAAGUUUGUUGUGCGUAGUAGAUAUUUUGGAGGCGGGGAGAGCCUCAAAAUGCUUCAUAUAACCAUUUUAUUGCCCUUGACUGGCUGCCUUGGUAACAGCCGUGGCCCUUGGCUGCAACCGCGUCCUACUCCAUCUUGACCACAUUAGGCAGAUGGUUUAAUUAUUAAGAGAAACUGGUUUGUGUGGGUUUACUGGUGCCAUUUCGCUACUCUUGCAAUGUUUGCAAGCUUGUAAGUUUGGUAUUUUUAUAUUGCACUUAUUCUAUUAAAGAUGCAAAAAUUGAGUCGGUCCCAAAGACUGUCACUUCUGUAAAAAUACAGGCAGUUCUGUUAUGUGCUAUGCAGGCAGUCACUGUCCUGUUGCAUAGGUGUCUGCAGGGCUUCGGAAUUUUCUCUUCCCCAUUGCAAUGUGACCAAGACCUUUGCAAGUCUUUCGUUUUUUUUUUUUUUUUUUUUUGGGCGGGGGGGGCGGGUUAAAAAAAAAAAAGAAAAGUAAAAUCAGUGGAGAGCAGGAGAGGAGGGGAAUGGGCUUCUCCAGGGCAUGGUUCAACAUUCCUCCAGUGCCUUCUGGAGGAACAUCCCUCUAGUGCAGCUCCUGUGCCUGAAAUGGCUUUAUUAAUCAAUACCCCUCUGCUUCUGGGGGUACUCUGGGCAGAUAACAGCGAGAAAACUUCAGAUUUUGUUUAUAACAAGUGAUUAGUUGAAGAGGUCUGGGUUUGAGCAAACACCAGAUGUUCUCAUGUUCCCCCGUUCCAAUGACUGCAUUUAUUUGCCCGGUAUCUAACACGUUGUGCUCUUACAACCUCCCCUCUCCUUCCCGAACGUAGUCAGCUUUUGUGCAUGUUUUCAGUGGCAGUGGAUGAAUUGAUACUAGAAAUGUCGCAAUUUAAUUUAUAACUAGAAAAUAGAGAAUGUGACUGCAAAGCAAAUACUGUGACCCAACAACAGAACUGCCCUAGAUUUUCACAUCUUGUUUUGAAAUUUUAUGACAGCCUUAUUGCCCAAGGGUACAACAUAAUCACUUCGCAGUUCACUGAUACGCUUUCUUUUAGCAUCUGUACUAAAUGCGUUUUUAUCCCUGCUGCAUGUAAGAGCAGUUUUUAAUGCUUCAGAUGCAAAGAAAAAAAACCCGUCUCAAAGUGCAUCAUGGCUAGCAUUGCAUUCAUUUUAAUUCCAAAUGUAAAUAUGCUUUGAAAAUUAACAAUCUUUCCACCCCCUCACCCCCCCAAAUUCUUCAUUGAUGAUACUGUUUUUCUGUCUUUCAUAAGCAUUAGCCCUGGAUAACAUCGUCAGCGCUUACCCUAUUGCGAUAUUUAAUUUACCGAGGAAACUUCUGAAUACGUGAACCGCAGGGUUAUCAUUUGCAAGAGUUACUGUUGGCGCCAGGAGAGGGGUGGGGGGUGCACGGUGUUCCUGGCGUUACGUCAGGUCCGGCAUGGGGCGGUUUGGGUGCUGCGGUAUCGGGCUGACGGGGGCUGACAGCGCAGAGAGCGUAGGCUGUACCUACGUAGUCCUGUUUACAUGUGCGUGCAAAUGAAAUAAAUGGAUGUUGCUCUGUUUUUCCAUUAAAGUGAUAUGUGUAAGGUCUGAAAAUCAGUGUUUCAGACGACUAAAAAUGUAGUCUUUACCCUGAAAGGUGCUUUCAAUGGCACAUUUUUGGGUCGUAUUAAACAGCUUGGUAAAGCAGCUCAGUAGCUGAGUUAAAAGGAGAUGUUCUCCCUUUUACUCUUGUCUCCCCGAGAACCACGCUUGGAUCUUCCAGGAGCCCUUCUUGUGCUCUCUUCCUCUGAAAUCAAACUGCCUUUCCGCUCGCUUUCGAUGAAGCUUUGACCGCGGUUGAGUUCCCGUACACCCCCGCUGCCACGCGCAGCGCUGACGAAGAGCGAAACGGACUCUGCCGACGAUUAGGAACACCGUUCCGGGGGAAGCGGAGAGUCCCGCUGCAUUUGCUGCCGAGAUCCUAUCUGACAUCUCUCUGAAACACAGACGGUACGAAGCGACGCGGUGAGAUAACGUCCCAGGAAGACCUUUUUCUCCUUGUCCCGGCCAGACCUCCGCAGAGCCUCUCUUGCUCUUCCUCCUCCCUUUUCUGGAUGAUAGCUUCGACGCUUGCCGAUGGACCGUUGUGUGUCUCCACAGCGCCCUGGGCUCUCGGCGCCGUGACAGCCUUGGACAGAGGUUACAAACGCGCUGUGCGCCCUGCAUCGUUUCACCUGGCUAUUACCGCGUGCUUCCAAGUCUGUCAUCGAAGAGAGACUUUUAUGUCUCAACAUUUCUGUUUUCUAUUGCCUUGAAUAAAAUAGGACCUUCACAUGCCCAUGACCAGCACUUCAUUUUCUCAUCUUUUCUGGGUGCUUAGAUUAAAUACAUUUAAAAAAAAAAAAAAAAAAAAAUCUGUCAGUGGUUCGCAGUAACUUUUGGGGAAAAAAAUUUCCCAAUUUCCCAGUGUCCUUAAAUUAAUAAGCAGAAGAUAAGUAAUGAAAUAUUGUAUUUGCAUUCAUAGGCAUCUUUUUUUUUUUUUUUACAAAAAUCACAUUGUGGCUUUCACUUACUAGAACUCCAAUUCGGGGAGCAUCACCGAUGCGGGCAGAGCACCACUCUGGAAGCCGCUUUGCUGCAGAUGAAUGCCAGUGACCCUCAUACGCUGAAACAGCUCACAUAGAAGAAGCAGGCCUCCUGUUGCACUACCAGAAAAGCAGUGAAAGUCCAGGUUACUGCCACCGCUACUGAAAUCCUAGAAUUUCCCAUCAUCAUUGAACUUGCAGCCAACUAAAUAUCACCUCAAAAGUCACGAGCUCCCUCCUGGUACUCCUGUCCCAGAAGCUGACUACUGUCUGUUGUAGAAGAAAACAGGAGGAAGACUGAAAAACUGUACUUUCCAAGCCCGUGACCUAAAUGAUGAGUAGAAGAUAUUAAGCCUGGAUUUUAACAUAAGAGCUGACUGCACCCACAGGAGAAAUUAAAGCACAGUGGUGUUUUUUGA
This is a non-coding RNA of Phalacrocorax carbo (great cormorant), 3538 nucleotides long. The record is from RefSeq and is a predicted model, not a curated record. NCBI's taxonomy places the organism in Eukaryota, Metazoa, Chordata, Aves, Suliformes, Phalacrocoracidae.